UCGGGAAUUUUGGGCAAUGGGCGAAAGCCUGACCCAGCAACGCCGCGUGAGUGGCGAAGGCCUUAGGGUUGUAAAACUCUUUCGUCGGGGACGAUAAUGACGGUACCCGAAGAAGAAGCUCCGGCUAACUUCGUGCCAGCAGCCGCGGUAAUACGAAGGGAGCUAGCGUUGUUCGGAAUCACUGGGCGUAAAGCGCACGUAGGCGGAUAGUUAAGUCAGGGGUGAAAUCCUGGGGCUCAACCCCAGAACUGCCUUUGAUACUGGCUGUCUCGAGGUCGAGAGAGGUUGGUGGAAUUCCUAGUGUAGAGGUGAAAUUCGUAGAUAUUAGGAAGAACACCAGUGGCGAAGGCGGCCAACUGGCUCGAUACUGACGCUGAGGUGCGAAAGCGUGGGGAGCAAACAGGAUUAGAUACCCCCGUAGUCCCUGAGCGGGCUGGCAAGGCGCAU
RNAcentral lists this ribosomal RNA (447 nucleotides) under uncultured bacterium. RNAcentral's name for it is "bacterial SSU rRNA". It matches the Rfam family "Bacterial small subunit ribosomal RNA", at positions 355 to 825 of the family's 1533-position model. The record is from RNAcentral.